This 265-nucleotide long non-coding RNA is filed under the name Nicotiana benthamiana. RNAcentral describes it as "long non-coding RNA (NBEN_LNC021689)". The record is from RNAcentral. Lineage: Eukaryota; Viridiplantae; Streptophyta; Magnoliopsida; Solanales; Solanaceae.
AAAUGCCAAACUAAUGAUGUUUCUUGACGUUUAGCAGGUUGUCUACUAAAAGUGGGAGUUUCUACAGGUGGGUGUGCCGGUGCAUUACCUGAGUUACGAGCAGGACUAGUAGGUGUAUCAUCUAAAUCUGGUGCUUGGAUUUCAUUAUCAUCAUUAUCAUUCUCAUUUUCCUCUUAGAUAGUUUCAUUAGGAUAAAGAGCAUUCAUAAUUCCAUCAUCUAAUCUAUCACCUACUGUAACAUCAUGUAGAAAUUCACUAUCGGUAA